Molecule: ribosomal RNA, 429 nt
Filed under: Chloroflexota bacterium
Lineage: Bacteria; Bacillati; Chloroflexota
Description: Chloroflexi bacterium partial 16S ribosomal RNA
Rfam family: Bacterial small subunit ribosomal RNA
Source: RNAcentral
UGGGGAAUAUUGCACAAUGGGCGCAAGCCUGAUGCAGCCAUGCCGCGUGUAUGAAGAAGGCCUUCGGGUUGUAAAGUACUUUCAGCGGGGAGGAAGGGAGUAAAGUUAAUACCUUUGCUCAUUGACGUUACCCGCAGAAGAAGCACCGGCUAACUCCGUGCCAGCAGCCGCGGUAAUACGGAGGGUGCAAGCGUUAAUCGGAAUUACUGGGCGUAAAGCGCACGCAGGCGGUUUGUUAAGUCAGAUGUGAAAUCCCCGGGCUCAAUCUGGGAACUGCAUCUGAUACUGGCAAGCUUGAGUCUCGUAGAGGGGGGUAGAAUUCCAGGUGUAGCGGUGAAAUGCGUAGAGAUCUGGAGGAAUACCGGUGGCGAAGGCGGCCCCCUGGACGAAGACUGACGCUCAGGUGCGAAAGCGUGGGGAGCAAACAGG